CUAUACAUGACUCUGCGCAUAUCAAUAAGCGGAGGAAAAGAAACUAACAAGGAUUCCCUUAGUAACGGCGAGUGAAGCGGGAAGAGCUCAAAUUUGAAAUCUUCAAGGUUCUACCUUGACGAAUUGUAGUUUAUAGAAGUGUUUUCUGUUAGUAGAGUGGCAAAAGUUCUUUGGAAUAGGACAUCAUAGAGGGUGAGAAUCCCGUAUUUGGUCAUUCUUCCUAGCGUUGUGAUACACUUUCAACGAGUCGGAUUGUUUGGGAAUGCAGUCCAAAAUGGGUGGUAAAUUUCAUCUAAAGCUAAAUAUUGGCGAGAGACCGAUAGCGAACAAGUACCGUGAGGGAAAGAUGAAAAGAACUUUGAAAAGAGAGUUAAACAGUACGUGAAAUUGUCAAAAGGGAAGCGUUUGACACCAGUGUUGUUUUUCCGAAAAUCAAUUACGAAUGGGUUAUUUUGAGAGUUAUGACUUCAAUCGCUUGUCUUACUUUCUUAUGACUUUCUUAAUGCACUUUUCGGUUAACAAGUCAACACCAAUUUCUUUUGUUGUAAAAGGGUAUGAGGAAGGUGGCUUUCUUUUCGGAGAAAGUGUUUAUAGCCUUGUACCUCUGCAAUCGGAGAGAUUGAGGUCUGCAGCGUAGAUCCUUCGGGGUUAGAUACAUUUGUGCUAAGUUAUAGCUUUUCAUAGACAACUUGUUGACUAUGUUAAGUCUUGUAGCUUACUCGCUUAUGCUAUUUUACCUACGCUUAGGAUGUUGAUAGUCACAGCGUGUAC
This 771-nucleotide ribosomal RNA is filed under the name uncultured Neocallimastigales. RNAcentral describes it as "partial large subunit ribosomal RNA". It matches the Rfam family "Eukaryotic large subunit ribosomal RNA", at positions 22 to 627 of the family's 3401-position model. The record is from RNAcentral. Lineage: Eukaryota; Fungi; Neocallimastigomycota; Neocallimastigomycetes; Neocallimastigales.